GGGUUGUGAGGUUAAGCGACUAAGCGUACACGGUGGAUGCCCUGGCAGUCAGAGGCGAUGAAGGACGUGCUAAUCUGCGAUAAGCGUCGGUAAGGUGAUAUGAACCGUUAUAACCGGCGAUUUCCGAAUGGGGAAACCCAGUGUGAUUCGUCACACUAUCAUUAACUGAAUCCAUAGGUUAAUGAGGCGAACCGGGGGAACUGAAACAUCUAAGUACCCCGAGGAAAAGAAAUCAACCGAGAUUCCCCCAGUAGCGGCGAGCGAACGGGGAGCAGCCCAGAGCCUGAAUCAGUAUGUGUGUUAGUGGAAGCGUCUGGAAAGGCGCGCGAUACAGGGUGACAGCCCCGUACACAAAAAUGCACAUGCUGUGAGCUCGAUGAGUAGGGCGGGACACGUGGUAUCCUGUCUGAAUAUGGGGGACCAUCCUCCAAGGCUAAAUACUCCUGACUGACCGAUAGUGAACCAGUACCGUGAGGGAAAGGCGAAAAGAACCCCGGCGAGGGGAGUGAAAAAGAACCUGAAACCGUGUACGUACAAGCAGUGGGAGCACAGAGCAAUCUGUGUGACUGCGUACCUUUUGUAUAAUGGGUCAGCGACUUAUAUUCUGUAGCAAGGUUAACCGAAUAGGGGAGCCGAAGGGAAACCGAGUCUUAACUGGGCGUUAAGUUGCAGGGUAUAGACCCGAAACCCGGUGAUCUAGCCAUGGGCAGGUUGAAGGUUGGGUAACACUAACUGGAGGACCGAACCGACUAAUGUUGAAAAAUUAGCGGAUGACUUGUGGCUGGGGGUGAAAGGCCAAUCAAACCGGGAGAUAGCUGGUUCUCCCCGAAAGCUAUUUAGGUAGCGCCUCGUGAAUUCAUCUCCGGGGGUAGAGCACUGUUUCGGCAAGGGGGUCAUCCCGACUUACCAACCCGAUGCAAACUGCGAAUACCGGAGAAUGUUAUCACGGGAGACACACGGCGGGUGCUAACGUCCGUCGUGAAGAGGGAAACAACCCAGACCGCCAGCUAAGGUCCCAAAGUCAUGGUUAAGUGGGAAACGAUGUGGGAAGGCCCAGACAGCCAGGAUGUUGGCUUAGAAGCAGCCAUCAUUUAAAGAAAGCGUAAUAGCUCACUGGUCGAGUCGGCCUGCGCGGAAGAUGUAACGGGGCUAAACCAUGCACCGAAGCUGCGGCAGCGACGCUUAUGCGUUGUUGGGUAGGGGAGCGUUCUGUAAGCCUGUGAAGGUGUGCUGUGAGGCAUGCUGGAGGUAUCAGAAGUGCGAAUGCUGACAUAAGUAACGAUAAAGCGGGUGAAAAGCCCGCUCGCCGGAAGACCAAGGGUUCCUGUCCAACGUUAAUCGGGGCAGGGUGAGUCGACCCCUAAGGCGAGGCCGAAAGGCGUAGUCGAUGGGAAACAGGUUAAUAUUCCUGUACUUGGUGUUACUGCGAAGGGGGGACGGAGAAGGCUAUGUUGGCCGGGCGACGGUUGUCCCGGUUUAAGCGUGUAGGCUGGUUUUCCAGGCAAAUCCGGAAAAUCAAGGCUGAGGCGUGAUGACGAGGCACUACGGUGCUGAAGCAACAAAUGCCCUGCUUCCAGGAAAAGCCUCUAAGCAUCAGGUAACAUCAAAUCGUACCCCAAACCGACACAGGUGGUCAGGUAGAGAAUACCAAGGCGCUUGAGAGAACUCGGGUGAAGGAACUAGGCAAAAUGGUGCCGUAACUUCGGGAGAAGGCACGCUGAUAUGUAGGUGAAGUCCCUCGCGGAUGGAGCUGAAAUCAGUCGAAGAUACCAGCUGGCUGCAACUGUUUAUUAAAAACACAGCACUGUGCAAACACGAAAGUGGACGUAUACGGUGUGACGCCUGCCCGGUGCCGGAAGGUUAAUUGAUGGGGUCAGCGCAAGCGAAGCUCUUGAUCGAAGCCCCGGUAAACGGCGGCCGUAACUAUAACGGUCCUAAGGUAGCGAAAUUCCUUGUCGGGUAAGUUCCGACCUGCACGAAUGGCGUAAUGAUGGCCAGGCUGUCUCCACCCGAGACUCAGUGAAAUUGAACUCGCUGUGAAGAUGCAGUGUACCCGCGGCAAGACGGAAAGACCCCGUGAACCUUUACUAUAGCUUGACACUGAACAUUGAGCCUUGAUGUGUAGGAUAGGUGGGAGGCUUGGAAGUGUGGACGCCAGUCUGCAUGGAGCCGACCUUGAAAUACCACCCUUUAAUGUUUGAUGUUCUAACGUUGACCCGUAAUCCGGGUUGCGGACAGUGUCUGGUGGGUAGUUUGACUGGGGCGGUCUCCUCCUAAAGAGUAACGGAGGAGCACGAAGGUUGGCUAAUCCUGGUCGGACAUCAGGAGGUUAGUGCAAUGGCAUAAGCCAGCUUGACUGCGAGCGUGACGGCGCGAGCAGGUGCGAAAGCAGGUCAUAGUGAUCCGGUGGUUCUGAAUGGAAGGGCCAUCGCUCAACGGAUAAAAGGUACUCCGGGGAUAACAGGCUGAUACCGCCCAAGAGUUCAUAUCGACGGCGGUGUUUGGCACCUCGAUGUCGGCUCAUCACAUCCUGGGGCUGAAGUAGGUCCCAAGGGUAUGGCUGUUCGCCAUUUAAAGUGGUACGCGAGCUGGGUUUAGAACGUCGUGAGACAGUUCGGUCCCUAUCUGCCGUGGGCGCUGGAGAACUGAGGGGGGCUGCUCCUAGUACGAGAGGACCGGAGUGGACGCAUCACUGGUGUUCGGGUUGUCAUGCCAAUGGCACUGCCCGGUAGCUAAAUGCGGAAGAGAUAAGUGCUGAAAGCAUCUAAGCACGAAACUUGCCCCGAGAUGAGUUCUCCCUGACUCCUUGAGAGUCCUGAAGGAACGUUGAAGACGACGACGUUGAUAGGCCGGGUGUGUAAGCGCAGCGAUGCGUUGAGCUAACCGGUACUAAUGAACCGUGAGGCUUAACCUUACAACGCCGAAGGUGUUU
Molecule: ribosomal RNA, 2932 nt
Filed under: Escherichia coli
Lineage: Bacteria; Pseudomonadati; Pseudomonadota; Gammaproteobacteria; Enterobacterales; Enterobacteriaceae
Description: bacterial LSU rRNA
Rfam family: Bacterial large subunit ribosomal RNA
Source: RNAcentral